UGUAUCCAUUUGACAAAAGCAGCAAAUACAUUGAGGCAGGGAUCUGCACAACCAUUUGUGAUGACUGAGAGCUGUAAGGGUAUAAAAUAAACAGCGCAAUCUGAUGCUAUCCAUCCACUUGCCUUUGCCUUGCACUGGAAGGAGGGACUAUGCCAUGGAAAAACAGGUCUGGAUCAGAGGAAAGAGCCUGUAAUGUGCACUGGAAAAUUAACUUCUGAAUUAGAGAAAUAAAAACUACCCAUCAGUGGUUUUAAACACACAGUGCAGCUGGUUUGGGUGUAAUUGUAUGUCACAUGUAUAAAAAAACCAACAGGUUAAGUGGUGCCUGGAAUUAUUCCUGUUGGACUGUAAACUUGUCAGCACAGCACUGCCAGCCCAGAGCCACACACACAUUGCAGGAGUGAUGUGAAGAGGGGCAGAAGGAUACAAAGCAGAAGGCUCAGAGGUUGGAGCCGAAGGCUGGAGGUGGACAUCCAGGUGAGGAGAGAUCCAGUUUGACUUGAGAGGAGCCCUGUCACCAAGGUGAUCGUGCAGCUGGUUUUCCAAUGUUUCUAAUACUCACUAAAUUUCUAUGAGCUUUCUAUUGAACUCCUAUUUCUUCUGAUACUGGCUCAGCAAUUGGAUCACCCCCGUGGCCAUUUAAGUAUAAGAUAGUUAGCAAGCCUACAUUUUAGAUUAACUGUACAGCAAAACAGUGUUGCAUGUCAUCACACAAAAACAUUCCUGAGUGCUGAAGGGUUGGUUGGCUGUUCUUGCAGGCUGUUCUCCCUGGCAUUGAAACACCUGUGUGGGUGCAGUCAGACCUGUGGGAGGCUGUGAUAAUGGAUGACGAAUUAAGUCCGAAGUCUUCUUCCUGAAAUGGGGUUGGCUGGCUGAGCUCCUGGACGUCACAGCUCCCUCUGUACAGCCACAGAGAUAGUUGCCUGUAGCACCUCCAGCCCUACUGUCACAGCUUCAGAUGUCAUUUGUUUCCAAAUAACGAGGCACAUCCCGUUGUGAUGUUCUGAUCCAGCAAACAGCCUCCGCUCUUCUUGUUCACUGGGGAAUGUACAUGCCUUGUGGAAGCUACUGCAGCAACAUUGAAGAGAAGGGAGUUCUCACAAUUGAAGCCAGCAGCCCUAUUUGUCUCUUCUGCUGAAGGAAAGCUAAACAUGCAAAUCGGGCAGGCGGCUGAGGAUCGUAAAAGGACGAGCAGGGUGCAAUAUACACAGGGAGGAAAACAAAGAGAGAUGAGUCCUGACAGCAGAGAAAUUAUACCUGGCUUCAUGUGAGGGCACAGACCUGGCCCUGGCUGCCCCAAGAUCACUGCACACUGCCAGCCAAGCUGUUCUCAUGCUUAAUUUACAGCCUGCAAGGUUCAUGCACCACCUAAUGAAAAAUCGCGAUGGGAACUUUGCAGGAGAAAGUAGGACAGUUGGCACAUUAUUCACAUUUCAGCAGAGGAGGGGAGAGCUCCUUUUGCCUCGAGAACUGACCUCAUGGUGGUUUGACCUGCACAGAGGGCUGUCAUCGGGGCUUUAUGAUCAUUCCAAUUUGGAUUGUAACGUUAUGCUGAAAGUAACACUGGACUCUAUUAUCUUGCUUUGCCCUUUCCAUAAUUCAACGCCAUGUUUGCAGCAUAGCAGCAGUUCGAGGAGUUUGAGAAGUUUUGGUGGAGGUAGUCCAGCCUCGAUGCUGAGCAUUGCUCAGCAGCAUCGUUCACUCUGGAUACAUCUCACGUGUGGGAAAAACAAUAAGAAUUACCUCAAGAUUACUCAUGUCCUCAAUUAGAAAUUGUUUUUCUCCUGUGACUUGUGUUGUUGGUAGCUGAAAUGGCUGUUCACACUACAAGUGGCCUUUUAUUCACCUGCCUUCAAGCACCCAGAGGCACCAACCAACUCCUUCCCUCCUUCCAUGAGGUUCUCUCUCUCUCUGUGGCUGAUAUUACCAAACUGAUAUCUUUAUUCUCACUGAUUUCAGGUGAAGCUUCUUUCUCCCCGUGAGUACCCAUCAGUCACUUCUCCAUUCAAGAGGCAGAACAUUGCUACCCAGACCUGCAUCUAAAAAGUACGAUUUUCUUGACAACACCAGUUGUUUCUCGCAGUCCACGUUCAGAAGGUCCCAUGGACAGAAUUACACUUUAUCCACUUGAACUUUCAUAGUUUCCAGAAGUUCAUACGAUCUUUUCCAAACUCCCCAUGUUACACAAUUUCCUUGUUCUUUGGAGCAACCUCUCAGGCAGAAGGGUAUUACUAUAUCUAUAGCUGUAGUCCCAGGUAAUUGAAUUCUCCUCUUCCUCUACAAUUUGGCUCUGAAUCACGUUCUUUUUAAAUAAUAAAGUAAAAUACAAAAUAAACAUGACUACACAUAUCUGUUUUGUUUGACACAGGUCUCAGUAACAGAAAAUGGGAUUUUACUCUGCUAAUAAACUGGUAGAGUUUGCCCUUUCCUAUGAUGCACAUGUGCCUCAUAGGUGAAUUUAUCUCCCUGCAUCUUAGCACUUUAAAGCAGUAAUAAAAGAUGCUGAAGGCUCUGUGACUUAGGAAUAUGUCUAACUAAGAACAAUUUUCUCACAAACCAAUUUUCG
RNAcentral lists this long non-coding RNA (2566 nucleotides) under Gallus gallus (chicken). RNAcentral describes it as "lncRNA (ENSGALG00010003088.1)". The record is from RNAcentral. Lineage: Eukaryota; Metazoa; Chordata; Aves; Galliformes; Phasianidae.